AACGAACGCUGGCGGCAUGCCUAACACAUGCAAGUCGAACGAGACCUUCGGGCCUAGUGGCGCACGGGUGCGUAACGCGUGGGAACCUGCCCUUAGGUUCGGAAUAACUCCCCGAAAGGGGUGCUAAUACCGGAUAAUGUCUUCGGACCAAAGAUUUAUCGCCUUUGGAUGGGCCCGCGUUGGAUUAGCUAGUUGGUAGGGUAAAAGCCUACCAAGGCGACGAUCCAUAGCUGGUGUGAGAGGAUGAUCAGCCACACUGGGACUGCGACACGGCCCAGACUCCUACGGAAGGGAGCAGUGGGGAGUAUUGGACGAUGGACGAAAGCCUGAUCCAGCAGUGCCGCGUGAGUGAUGAAGGCCUUAGGGUUGUAAAGCUCUUUUACCCGGGAUGAUAAUGACAGUACCGGGAGAAUAAGCACCGGCUAACUCCGUG
Molecule: ribosomal RNA, 433 nt
Filed under: uncultured bacterium
Lineage: Bacteria
Description: partial 16S ribosomal RNA
Rfam family: Bacterial small subunit ribosomal RNA
Source: RNAcentral